This 1901-nucleotide long non-coding RNA is filed under the name Homo sapiens (human). RNAcentral describes it as "HSALNT0306521". Lineage: Eukaryota; Metazoa; Chordata; Mammalia; Primates; Hominidae. The record is from RNAcentral.
GCAUUACAGUUCUUAAAGGCAGUCUGUCUGGACAGCCUUCCUUCUGAUGUUCAGAUGUGUUCAGAGUUUUUUCCUUCUGGUGGGUUCGUGGUCUCACUGGCUUCAGAAGUGAAGCUACAAACUUCACAGUGAGUGUUACAGCUCAUAAAGGCAGUGUGGACCCAACGAGUGAGCAACAGUAAUAUUUAUUACAAAAAGCAAAACAACAAAAGUUCCACAACGUGGAAGGAAAACCCAGUAGGUUGCCACUGCUGGCUCAGGCAGCCAGCUUUUAUUCUCUUAUCUGGCCCCACCCACAUCCUGCUGAUUGGUCCAUUUUACAGAGAGCCGAUUGGUCUGUUUCACAGAGAGCUGAUUGGUCCAUUUUGACAGGGUGCUGAUUGGUGCAUUUACAAUCCCUGAGCUAGACACAAAAGUUCUCCACCUCCCCGCUAGAUUAGCUAGAUACAGAGUGUCCAUUGGUGUAUUUACAACCCCUGAGCUAGAGACAGAGUGCUGAUUGGUGUAUUUACAAUCCCUUAGCUAUACAUAAAGAUUCUCCAAGUCCCCACCAGACUUAGGAGCCUAUCUGGCUUCUCCCAGUGGAUCCCGAACUGGGGCCGCAGGUGGAGCUGCCUGCCAGUCCCGCGCAGUGCGCCCGCACUCUUCAGCCUUUGGCGGUCGAUGGGACUGGGCGCUGUGGAGCUGGGAGCAGUGCUCUCGUCGGGGAGGCUCGGCCAGGCAGGAGCCCAUGGCGGAGGUGGGGCGGGGGAGGCUCAGGCACGGCGGGCUGCAGGUCCCAAGCCCUGCCCCGUGGGGAGGCAGCCCAGGUGCUAAGCCCCUCACUGCCCGGGGCUUCCGGGCCGGCCGGCCGCUCAGAGUGCGGGGCCUGCCGAGCCCACGCCCACCCGGAACUCGCGCUGGCCCGCAAGCGCCGCGUGCAGCCACGGUUCCCGACAGCGCCUCUCCCUCCACACCUCCCCGCAAGCUGAGGGAGCCGGCUCCAGCCUUGACCAGCCCAGAAAAGGGCUCCCACAGUGCAGCGGCGGGCUGAAGGGCUCCUCAGGCGCCGCCAGAAUGGGCGCCGAGGCUGAGGCACCGAGAGCGAGCGUGGGCUGCGAGGGCUGCCAGUAUGCUGUCACCUCUCAGUAUGAUAGAAAAAACCUGCUGUACUGCCACUGCCCAAUAUAUAAUAUUUCAGGAAACAUUGCUUUAUGAAGGGCUCCAUAACAGUUAAUGAAGGUUUACACCAACUGAAAAACAUGAAGAAGAAAAGGAAGGAAGAAAGAGAUGGUAGAAAGAAAGGAAAGAUGAAUGGAAAAGAAAAACUACUACUUGUGGAAUGCUCAGUGUAUGCUAGAUGUCUUCAUUGGUAGCAUUGCAUUUACUUCUCAAGGAUCAGGAGAGGCCAUUUCCUUUUUACAAAGGGGAAAAAAAAACUCCAAGAGGAGAAUUUCUUGUACCCCUUCAGUUCGGUGGCAUGCAAUCUCUAAUGUUAGCAUUUAUUAGGAAGGGGGAAAAAGGCGAUGGAGUCCAGGUCUGGUGGUAUUGACAACCUUCCAAUUAAAGUGGCCUUUGAAGAAGUUUCAGUUGCUUCCUGUCAUUUCAUUAGAGACAAGGAUUGGGAACUCCAUAAGGUUUCCACACUUGCACUUUUAAAACCAAAGGGGCUUACAUUAAUACAAUACAUGUGAAUAGAUCUUUUCUUCAAAAUCUGACAUGUCACCUGGCUCCACAGAGAAGACAAACUCACACCUUAUUGGGGGAUGGUGGAAUAGACUUUUGAAAUUAGGAGAAAUUGUAUGAUGUGUCAUUAAAUGCAAUUUCUUUUUAAGAAUUCUCUCAUUGGUAAUUAUUCUUAUUAUGUAGGUGGACAGUCUCUUAAUAUAGAUAAAGACCUUUGCAGCUGCUCUCAUCGUCGG